ACCUGAUUUAAGUUUUUGGGGCCCUGGGGAUGAAAGCGGCCGCCCUCCUCGGUGCCUUUUCUGGUGUUUUUUGCUCUUUCCUAGCCUGGGCCUGAGGCGGGUUUUAAAGGAUUUCCCCCAGGCAUGUGCCAAUGGAAAAUCAUCUGAGAGUUCAAGAAAUUCCCCAAACCUGCAGAGGGCAGAGCUGAGAUUUCUGCAGGAGGAGGAAGAGGCCAGAAUCAUCAAAAUAGUGGGGAAAAAAACCACAAUUUUGGUCCAAACAGCCACGAUACUACACAGAAAACACCAGGAGCUUGAUAUCAGGUGGGGAAAACCCCACGGUGCUGAGCUUUGGGACCUAAUUUCCUUUUUUUUUCCCCAUUUUUUGCUCUCAUUCAGCGCCGGUUUCUUCCUCCAGGAUCCUAAAAACACGAGCAAAAGGAGGAUUUUUCCCUCAAAAAGCACUUUCUCUGGGAAAAUGCUUCCUGCUGGCCUGGGUGCGAUUUCCUUUGUGUUUUUUUUUUUUUUUUUCCUUUUUCCCCUAUUUCUGGCAAAUAUUAAAUGGUGAAAUGGGAACCUUGGCGCAGCGUUUCCUACGGGGAAGGGCGGAGAUGAGGAUACUUCCCCUAUUUUGCUGUUUUUAGGACAAAUUUCAGCAAUUCUGAAACCCGAAGCAAUCGCAUUGGGUUUUGGGUCCGUUUCUGUGCAUUUAAGGGGAGUUUGGGGUCCGUCCUGUUGCAUUUAAAGGGAUUUUGGGGUCUUCUGUUGCAUUUAAAGGGAAUUUUGGGUCCGUCCUGUUGCAUUUAAGGGGAAUUUUGGGUCCGUCCUGUUGCAUUUAAAGGGAUUUUGGGUCCGUCCUGUUGCAUUUAAAGGGAUUUUGGGUCCGUCCUGUUGCAUUUAAAGGGAAUUUUGGGUCCAUCCUGUUGCAUUUAAAGGGAUUUUGGGUCCAUCCUGUUGCAUUUAAAGGAAUUUUGGGUCCAUCCUGUUGCAUUUAAAGGGAUUUUGGGUCCGUCCUGUUGCAUUUAAAGGGAUUUUGGGUCCGUCCUGUUGCAUUUAAAGGGAUUUUGGGUCCGUCCUGUUGCAUUUAAAGGGAUUUUGGGUCCGUCCUGUUGCAUUUAAAGGGAAUUUUGGGUCCGUCCUGUUGUAUUUAAAGGGAAUUUUGGGUCCGUCCUGUUGCAUUUAAAGGGAUUUUGGGUCCGUCCUGUUGCAUUUAAAGGGAUUUUGGGUCCGUCCUGUUGCAUUUAAAGGGAUUUUGGGUCCGUCCUGUUGCAUUUAAAGGGAUUUUGGGUCCGUCCUGUUGCAUUUAAAGGGAUUUUGGGUCCGUCCUGUUGCAUUUAAAGGGAUUUUGGGUCCGUCCUGUUGCAUUUAAGGGGAAUUUUGGGUCCGUCCUGUUGCAUUUAAGGGGAAUUUUGGGUCCGUCCUGUUGCAUUUAAAGGGAUUUUGGGUCCGUCCUGUUGCAUUUAAAGGGAUUUUGGGUCCGUCCUGUUGCAUUUAAGGGGAAUUUUGGGUCCGUCCUGUUGCAUUUUAGGGGAAUUUUGGGUCCGUCCUGUUGCAUUUAAAGGGAUUUUGGGUCCGUCCUGUUGCAUUUAAAGGGAUUUUGGGUCCGUCCUGUUGCAUUUAAAGGGAUUUUGGGUCCGUCCUGUUGCAUUUAAAGGGAAUUUUGGGUCCGUCCUGUUGCAUUUAAAGGGAAUUUUGGGUCCGUCCUGUUGCAUUUUAGGGGAAUUUGGGGUUUGUCCAAGCCUGGCGUGGAUCAGGAGGGUGAAAUUUAAAUUGGGUGAAUCCUUUCUACCUGGAAAAAAGAGGGGAAAGAAAAACCAAACGGAGCCGGGGCUGGUUUUUAGGUGCUGUUUAUUGAGCGAGUGGCGGGACGCGGCGGCGGGGAGGCGUUUGGGGUGAAACCCGAGGCUUUUGGGGAAUUUUUAGGGGCAGAAAGUGAGCAGGGCCGGCCCUUCUCCCAACCACAGCAGGGGUCUCAGCCUCUCCCCGGCGAAGGCUGCGGGGGGAAAGGCGAAAAUCUCCACCUCGCUAUCGGCGUCCCGAAAAGCCACCCUCCCUCCCC
This is a non-coding RNA of Anas platyrhynchos (mallard), 2038 nucleotides long. Lineage: Eukaryota; Metazoa; Chordata; Aves; Anseriformes; Anatidae. The record is from RefSeq and is a predicted model, not a curated record.